RNAcentral lists this long non-coding RNA (267 nucleotides) under Lathyrus oleraceus (garden pea). Its description in RNAcentral is "Pisum sativum (pea) long non-coding RNA (PSAT_LNC031086)". Lineage: Eukaryota; Viridiplantae; Streptophyta; Magnoliopsida; Fabales; Fabaceae. The record is from RNAcentral.
AAUGUACCAAUCCAUGUAUGUUGACCAAAUGACAUUGAAAGUCAAAGUCAAACAAUGAGAAAUCAGAAAUGAGAUGAAGAUUGGAGGUCAAACAAUAAGCAAAAUAUUUUUGGCAUUUUUAAUAUUAAAAUAAACUUGAAUUAAAAAUAAAAGGAAGGUCAAACUUCAAAAUCACUUCAAAUCAACCUUGAAAGGUCCAAGUGAUUUAUCCUAAGUUCAAUAAGGUCAAACAAAGUUUGACAAAAAAUUUCAGCAUUUUUAAAAGUC